AAAUGUCAGAGCGGUUUAAUUUGCUCGCUUGGAAAGCGGGUGUACGGUAACGUACCGAGGGUUCGAAUCCCUCUUUCUCCACCA
This 84-nucleotide transfer RNA is filed under the name Flavobacteriales bacterium. RNAcentral describes it as "tRNA-Ser". It matches the Rfam family "tRNA". Rfam says of the family: Transfer RNA (tRNA) molecules are approximately 80 nucleotides in length. Their secondary structure includes four short double-helical elements and three loops (D, anti-codon, and T loops). Further hydrogen bonds mediate the characteristic L-shaped molecular structure. tRNAs have two regions of fundamental functional importance: the anti-codon, which is responsible for specific mRNA codon recognition, and the 3' end, to which the tRNAs corresponding amino acid is attached (by aminoacyl-tRNA synthetases). tRNAs cope with the degeneracy of the genetic code in two manners: having more than one tRNA (with a specific anti-codon) for a particular amino acid; and 'wobble' base-pairing, i.e. permitting non-standard base-pairing at the 3rd anti-codon position. Lineage: Bacteria; Pseudomonadati; Bacteroidota; Flavobacteriia; Flavobacteriales. The record is from RNAcentral.